Molecule: ribosomal RNA, 261 nt
Filed under: Klebsiella pneumoniae
Lineage: Bacteria; Pseudomonadati; Pseudomonadota; Gammaproteobacteria; Enterobacterales; Enterobacteriaceae
Description: partial 23S ribosomal RNA
Rfam family: Bacterial large subunit ribosomal RNA
Source: RNAcentral
UACGAGAGGACCGGAGUGGACGCAUCACUGGUGUUCGGGUUGUCAUGCCAAUGGCACUGCCCGGUAGCUAAAUGCGGAAGAGAUAAGUGCUGAAAGCAUCUAAGCACGAAACUUGCCCCGAGAUGAGUUCUCCCUGAGACUAUAAGUCUCCUGAAGGAACGUUGAAGACGACGACGUUGAUAGGCCGGGUGUGUAAGCGCAGCGAUGCGUUGAGCUAACCGGUACUAAUGAACCGUGAGGCUUAACCUUACAACGCCGAAG